AUAUAAGCUUAUUUUUACCUCUUUUUUUGAAUCAAUUUUUAGUGGUUUUACAUGUAUGCACAAGAAGGAUUUGUACGUGGCUUUAGAGGAUUCAAAAUGAAUAAUUGUUUAACUAAGAUUGAUAAGGUGAAUUAUAUUGUUGAUAUGAGUUUUCUAUGUUCAUGUAGAAUAUUCUACGAGGUUUAAAGUCUUUAGAGUUUUGUCAAAGAGAUUUUAGGUAAGAAAAACUAACUAUUUGGCCGCUUUAAAAUUUGUUGUGUUUAGUUGAUUUCAUGGUGUUUAGAAAUGUUGAGCGUUUUGUUGAAUAUUGGUUGUUCUUGUGAAUUGAAUGAUUCCCCCUGAUUGAACACAAUUUGAGAAUAUGUAUAUUAGUUUGUAUUACUUGGCUUAAGAAGAUCUAUUUUAGAAUUAAAUUGUUCCUGUUUUGGCUUGUAAAAUAGAUUAAAUAUAAUAAUUGGAUCCAAUUGAGCAUAUUGAUAUGUUCUUCAAAAUUCUAAAAUUACUUAGACUCACAGGGUAAUCUAACCAACCACAAGGUGAUCAGAAAAAAAAACAAAUUUAAGG
This 564-nucleotide long non-coding RNA is filed under the name Vigna radiata. RNAcentral's name for it is "long non-coding RNA (VRAD_LNC002744)". The record is from RNAcentral. Lineage: Eukaryota; Viridiplantae; Streptophyta; Magnoliopsida; Fabales; Fabaceae.